AAAUCGUUAAGUUAAUAUAAACUAUACGUCUUCAAAACGUAAGAUUUACUGGUUUU
RNAcentral lists this transfer RNA (56 nucleotides) under Tyrophagus longior. Its description in RNAcentral is "tRNA-Trp". Lineage: Eukaryota; Metazoa; Arthropoda; Arachnida; Sarcoptiformes; Acaridae. The record is from RNAcentral.